GGAAGGAUGUAGAAGUGGCUGACAAGGCAGCACCCCCACAGCAGUUUAAUGCAAGUUGCAAAUUCCGAAAGAAGAAAAAGAAACAAAAAAACAAGAAAAACUCUGCUGGAGAAACUUCGG
Non-coding RNA from Manis javanica (Malayan pangolin), 120 nucleotides. The record is from RefSeq and is a predicted model, not a curated record. Lineage: Eukaryota; Metazoa; Chordata; Mammalia; Pholidota; Manidae.